Molecule: long non-coding RNA, 230 nt
Filed under: Manihot esculenta (cassava)
Lineage: Eukaryota; Viridiplantae; Streptophyta; Magnoliopsida; Malpighiales; Euphorbiaceae
Description: long non-coding RNA (MESC_LNC002033)
Source: RNAcentral
CUCAUGGUCAUGACACCAACAACUGUUUCCAGUUGAUUGCAGAAAUUGAGAGGUUGAUCAAGAGAGGGCACCUAAAGAACUUUGUAAAGAAAUCGGAAGGACAGAGACCUCAACCCAAUCCGACAGCUCAAACGCCGAGAAGAACAGGAGCUAACACUGUGAAUGAUGGGUCCAGUGGAACUAUCAACAUGAUCGUAGGAGGCACGGGAGGUCGGAUGAGCCGAAGGGGG